CCAACUCCUUGCUCUUACUACUCAUCUGCGCCCCACAUGCUGCUGGCUCUCAGCACUGGCUUCUCUGCACCGCCUGAUGAUGGUGAUGAUAAUCAUCCUCGUCAUCAUCAUUAUCCCCAGCACCAGCCUCCCUUCAAUCAAGUGCUUGCUGCAAAUUCAUCAGAUAAUGGAAAGAAGAGAUCAAGAACAAAGUUUACACAAGAGCAGAAAGAAAAAAUGUUAUCUUUUGCCGAAAGGCUAGGCUGGAAGAUGAACAGAGCUGAAGAGAAAUUGACCCAAGAUUUCUGCAGUGAAGUUGGUGUUAGCAGACGCGUGUUCAAAGUCUGGAUGCAUAACAACAAGAACGCUUCCGGGAGAAAAGAUCAGAGGAGUAUCAAUAACAAGAACAUUAAUGACAUUGUCAAUGGUUGCAGCAGGGUUAGUUUUGACGUCAAUGGCAACUGCAAAAACCACAAUGACGGAAAUGGAAACGGUAGUGUUGCUGUGGCUCCUAAAUGUGAAGAGUAAAUUAAAUUAAUGAACAAGUUGCUAGCUUUGACUGGAAAUGGAAGAUGUUUUACCUUUUUUCCUUUCUUGAUUUUGAUGUGGGUGAAGAAGAGAAUAGAUGAUAUCGCAAUUAUCAUUGUCAAUUUUAACUUAAUUAUAUGCUAAUUAGUCUUAAUUAUAUCCUUCAUCUUCUACAUUAGAUUUAGGGUUUUGUCUCGCUU
Molecule: long non-coding RNA, 707 nt
Filed under: Citrus sinensis (sweet orange)
Lineage: Eukaryota; Viridiplantae; Streptophyta; Magnoliopsida; Sapindales; Rutaceae
Description: long non-coding RNA (CSIN_LNC002795)
Source: RNAcentral